GGAGAGGGUCAGGUGUCCGCCGGUCGUGUCCUCGGGCACGGCGGGAGGAAAGUCCGGGCACCACAGGGCAGAGUGCCGGGUAACGCCCGGUCGCGGUGACGCGGAGGAAAGCGCAACAGAGAGCAGUCCGCCAGCGCGUCUCUUGAAGGGGCGCGCUCCAGCACCUGUCCGGCGCAACCCCCUGAUCCCAGGGGCAUGGCGGCGGCGCAGACUGGCGGGUUUACCCGGGUAAGGUUGAAAGGGUAGGGUAAGAGCCUACCGGCGGUCCUGGAGACAGGGCCGGCCAGGCAAACCCCACUUGGUGCAAGGUCGAAGUCGGAGAAAGCGGCCCGCUAUCGCUCCGGGGUAGACUGCUUGAGGCCGUCGGCAACGCCGGUCCUAGACGAAUGGACACCACCUCCAGAGGGGCGACCCAAUGGAGGCACAGAACCCGGCUUAAGAGCCUCUCCGACC
This 453-nucleotide RNase P RNA is filed under the name Deltaproteobacteria bacterium. RNAcentral's name for it is "RNase P RNA component class A". It matches the Rfam family "Bacterial RNase P class A". Rfam says of the family: Ribonuclease P (RNase P) is a ubiquitous endoribonuclease, found in archaea, bacteria and eukarya as well as chloroplasts and mitochondria. Its best characterised activity is the generation of mature 5'-ends of tRNAs by cleaving the 5'-leader elements of precursor-tRNAs. Lineage: Bacteria; Pseudomonadati; Myxococcota; Myxococcia. The record is from RNAcentral.